Long non-coding RNA from Chelonia mydas (Green sea turtle), 319 nucleotides. RefSeq lists it as uncharacterized. The record is from RefSeq and is a predicted model, not a curated record. The transcript has 3 exons. NCBI's taxonomy places the organism in Eukaryota, Metazoa, Chordata, Testudines, Cheloniidae.
UGGGAAUUACAGGAGCAAACGUUUCUAUGCUCCCCCUAUCAUCUCCAUCCCUGAGGUUAUCGCAGAUUAGAAGGCGAAAAAAAACCACACUCGCAAUGACGUGUUUUCCGAGCUCAUACAGUCCUACUGCACUGAUAGGGCACAGCUUAAUGCAUGGAGGCAUUCAGUGGGAGAGGCCAGGAAAGAAUUAAGCGAGCGUGAAGAGUGGAGGGAGGAUGCAAUGCUGAGGCUAAUGAGGAAGGAAACGGACAUGAUGAAGCGUCUGUUGGAGCUGCACGAAAGCCAACAAGAGCACAGCCCCCGCUGCAUCCACUGUAUA